This 373-nucleotide ribosomal RNA is filed under the name uncultured organism. RNAcentral describes it as "partial 16S ribosomal RNA". It matches the Rfam family "Bacterial small subunit ribosomal RNA", at positions 527 to 896 of the family's 1533-position model. The record is from RNAcentral.
GUAGGGAGCAAGCGUUGUUCGGAAUUAUUGGGCGUAAAGAGCGCGUAGGUGGUUUGGCAAGUCUGUUGUGAAAGCCCAUGGCUCAACUGUGGAAUUGCGACGGAAACUGCCAGACUAGAGUGCGGGAGAGGAAAGCGGAAUUCCCAGUGUAGAGGUGAAAUUCGUAGAUACUGGGAGGAACACCGGUGGCGAAGGCGGCUUUCUGGACCGCAACUGACGCUGAGGCGCGAAAGCUAGGGGAGCAAACGGGGAUUAGAUACCCCGGUAGUCCUAGCCGUAAACGAUGGGCACUAGGUGUAGGGGGUAUCGACCCCCUUCUGUGCCGCAGCUAACGCAUUAAGUGCCCCGCCUGGGGAGUACGGUCGCAAGACUA